RNAcentral lists this ribosomal RNA (773 nucleotides) under uncultured Neocallimastigales. RNAcentral describes it as "partial large subunit ribosomal RNA". It matches the Rfam family "Eukaryotic large subunit ribosomal RNA", at positions 23 to 647 of the family's 3401-position model. Lineage: Eukaryota; Fungi; Neocallimastigomycota; Neocallimastigomycetes; Neocallimastigales. The record is from RNAcentral.
AGAGAUGUGUGAUGACGCAUAUCAAUAAGCGGAGGAAAAGAAACUAACAAGGAUUCCCUUAGUAACGGCGAGUGAAGCGGGAAGAGCUCAAAUUUGAAAUCUUCAAGGUUCUACCUUGACGAAUUGUAGUUUAUAGAAGUGUUUUCUGUUAGUAGAGUGGCAAAAGUUCUUUGGAAUAGGACAUCAUAGAGGGUGAGAAUCCCGUAUUUGGUCACUCUUUCUAGCUUUGUGAUACACUUUCAACGAGUCGGAUUGUUUGGGAAUGCAGUCCAAAAUGGGUGGUAAAUUUCAUCUAAAGCUAAAUAUUGGCGAGAGACCGAUAGCGAACAAGUACCGUGAGGGAAAGAUGAAAAGAACUUUGAAAAGAGAGUUAAACAGUACGUGAAAUUGUCGAAAGGGAAGCGUUUGACACCAGUGUUGUUUUUCCGAAAAUCAAUUACGAAUGUUUUGUUUUUAGAAGUUAUGACUUCAUCGGCUUGCUUCUCUCUUUACGAAACUUUCUUAAUGCACUUUUCGGUUAACAAGUCAACAUCAAUUUCUUUUGUUGUAAAAGGGUAUGAGGAAGGUGGCUUUCUUUUCGGAGAAAGUGUUUAUAGCCUUGUACCUCUGCAAUCGGAGAGAUUGAGGUCUGCAGCGUAGAUCCUUCGGGGUUAGAUACAUUUGUGCUAAGUUAUAGCUUUUCAUAGACAACUUGUUGACUAUGUUUAGUCUUGUAGCUUACUCGCUGAUGCUAUUUUACCUACGCUUAGGAUGUUGAUCUGUAGUGCGUGCGC